This 245-nucleotide ribosomal RNA is filed under the name uncultured Arthrobacter sp. RNAcentral's name for it is "partial 16S ribosomal RNA". It matches the Rfam family "Bacterial small subunit ribosomal RNA", at positions 524 to 768 of the family's 1533-position model. The record is from RNAcentral. Lineage: Bacteria; Bacillati; Actinomycetota; Actinomycetes; Micrococcales; Micrococcaceae.
UACGUAGGGCGCAAGCGUUAUCCGGAAUUAUUGGGCGUAAAGAGCUCGUAGGCGGUUUGUCGCGUCUGCUGUGAAAGACCGGGGCUCAACUCCGGUUCUGCAGUGGGUACGGGCAGACUAGAGUGAUGUAGGGGAGACUGGAAUUCCUGGUGUAGCGGUGAAAUGCGCAGAUAUCAGGAGGAACACCGAUGGCGAAGGCAGGUCUCUGGGCAUUAACUGACGCUGAGGAGCGAAAGCAUGGGGAG